RNAcentral lists this unclassified non-coding RNA (154 nucleotides) under uncultured Clonostachys. RNAcentral's name for it is "sequence contains ITS1". Lineage: Eukaryota; Fungi; Ascomycota; Sordariomycetes; Hypocreales; Bionectriaceae. The record is from RNAcentral.
CCGAGUUUACAACUCCCAAACCCAUGUGAACCUUACCUAUCGUUGCUUCGGCGGAUCGCCCCGGGCGCCUUGUGUGCCCCGGAUCCAGGCGCCCGCCGAGGGACCUUAACUCUUGUAUUAUUGAGAAUUUUCUGAGUAUUAGAUUUAAUAAUCA